Molecule: long non-coding RNA, 228 nt
Organism: Polypterus senegalus (gray bichir)
Lineage: Eukaryota; Metazoa; Chordata; Cladistia; Polypteriformes; Polypteridae
Exons: 3
Source: RefSeq, a predicted model, not a curated record
UUGGAGUCCACUGGAUUGGACCUGGUGGAACUGCUUCAAAUUAACAGUCAUACAUAGACUUUAACACGUCAAGAUGGGGCAAAAUAAAUUUAAUCAGGCCAUACAUCUUCAGGGAAUCUACCCCAUGGAGGAGGAAAUGGACCAGACCACCAGAAGAAAAACCCAGCUAAGACUCCACCCACUUCCGCUGCUACAUCACGCCUUCCUACAGACCACUUUUGCCUGAGA